GCCGAUAGUGCAGGCAGCCGGCAGGCUUAUGGGACAUGAUCCACCCUGUUGCCCUAGGGACCCCUGGUGUUGUGGGUUCGGCCGCGUGAUGGCCAAUGGAACUGAAUCCUCCACCAAGCCUUGAUAUGUGGUUUAAUUCUCCUCCAAGCUAUAAGCUAUGUCCUACAAAAUGUGCUUCAACGGUGGUUGUGUUUUCUUAUAUGUAAUUUGUGUUGCUAGUUUCAAGAAAUGAUAUGUAUAAGCUAUGUUGCUAAUAAAAGUGGGAGGAGAUUGCUAUCUAUCUUGCUUACAAUGUGCCACAAAGAGAUUCAAAAGUGUUUGCCGUAGUAUUUUUAGAGGAUCAUAUCAUCCUCUAUUUUAAUGGUUAAGGACAUGCUACGGUCAUAAAGGAACCAUCGGUAGUUGAUUUCAAUUUAUUACUAAACAUAAAAGUUUAGCCAUCACAUAGAGUAGCAAUUUGUUGCAGACAUGGACCAAAUACCAUAUUAAUUCAUUUAUGCCAUUGCAUCUCAGCAUAACUGAUGCAGAACCACGGAGCUAGUGUUAUUCGCACAAGGUUUCUUUUGGCAGUCCGACGCUGAUGUAUUUGCUGGACCGUGUCAAAAAAUCGUUCAAGAGUCGACAUAUAGAUUAUGCCCCCUGCAUCAUACCUUCGUUUGAUGCCCCUGAUUAAAUCAUACACUAAUUAUACACGCAAAUGUGUACGAUUAAGAUCAGAGACUCACGGGAAGAUAUCACAACACAACACUAGACACAAAUUUAAAAUAAUACAAGUUUUAUAUUACAAGCCAGGGGCCUCGAGGGCUCGAAUACAAGCUCGAUACACGAGCAACUUAACCCCAUGCAUGUCCCUCGGCCCCCGCCAAAGAAAUCUUACUCAACCGAGCUUGUAAAACUACAAAGAGAGUCGAGCAACUUGCUAAUCUAUGGGAACACGCCGUCUGGCCGAUUGUUUCAUGGCAAUGAGAGGGGGGUGGAACUUCACUCAUGUGUCACCAUUCAAAGGAUCUCAUCAGCGCCAGUUCCAUCAGGCCGUCCUCCUGACACGAGUGAGACACCUUGGGGUGAUGAGAACGAGUAGAGCAUGCAAAUCAGACGUUGGAGAAAAUGCUCAGGUCAGGCACGUUCGUCGUGUGCCAAACCUUGGACAGGGGCGUGUCCUGGUGGUGUGCUUGUUGAAGUUCCUGGUCGAGCUCUGGUUUACUUUCUCGUUCAUGGUCUUCGGUGUUGUUUGAGCUUAGGUGCGGUGUGGUACGUAGGAGGUUCCGGGUGUGCCUCGAUUCACUAUUUUGGGCAGUAUGACGUACCGUAAAAAUCUCCUGAGAUUAGGCUUCCAUUGCCAGAGGAUCAGCUCAGCAGCAUGCUCAUACCAUCUCGCCUGUGCUAGAAUCAAUCUCCCUGCAUGGUCAUGGACAGGGAGCCCUCCUUGUCCAGCCUGCUCCGUAAGCUCCUAUCCACCGUUGAUUUUGAGCACACCCACAUCUAAUAGGCCAGGAACUCGAAUGUAGGGCUGGAACUUUAGUCGUUGUUCAGUCUUUAGCUACUCCCAAAACAACUUUGCCCAGGUGCACUCGAAGAAGGCAUAUAUGUGCCAUAGCUUCCUCUACUCCUCAUGGUUCGUAGAACGCAGGCCGCUCGAUGUGUCUAUCUCGUAGGAUCGCCCGGCAUGGAACAAAUUUGUGGAUCACCCUCAACGAGAAGUUACAUACUUUCGGUGGCACCGCUAGCUUGCAGAGCCUUCUCUCCAGCACUUGUUCACCCUCUCCCCUGAAGCUCGAGGCCCUACCAUUAUCCACACUUCUUGGCACCAAUGCUCUGUAAGCAGAUCGUACGGUGCAUUUUCCAAAAUUUCUUGAGAUUCGAAGCCCAACUGUCCUCGGCAAAAUUCUCGACUGGCAUCUGAUCUGCAUAUAGCCUCCACGUCAGGUGCAACAAAAUUCGCCUCAAUCACCUCCAUGUUCAAGUGCUCCGAGUCAUGAUCAAUAAGUUCGUGCACAGCUUAAAAUCCUCCCAAACUCUGAUUGAAGCUCCAUCGCCCACGUAUGCGACGAGCUCGUUUCUUGGUGGUUUGUCUGUAGUAUGUGGAGGUGGCAAGCCAUGUCCUGGAGACCGUAGACCACAUCCGGACGACGACGUCUUGAUUGACGUCUUGCGACGCAAAGCUGUGCCAGUCUGGUCGCGACCAAAUCAUGGACACCGAGGCCUGUGGCAAUCCCCGCGACACGGAGACCCACAUAGGCGGCAGCCACAUCCUCAAGGUGGAGAGAGACCUAUCACCUAUGAUGAUUCGGAGGAAACCUCUCACCAUGCUAUGCCACCCACGACAACCACAUCCCUAAUUCGAUGUGUUAAUAGUUCAUGUUGGAUGGCCUCUCUGAAUCGGGCUUGUCGAUGGCAAUUCUUCUUCUUUGGUGUGCAGGUGCCCAGAGUGUAGCUUUUGAAUGUGAAUCUAAUGGCAUUGGUGAAUAAACACUGUAAGCUGGUGGUGAAUAAAAAUUUCAGAAGGACAUGAGUUUAGUUUUUGCGUUGUUGUCUAAUAUAUUUGGUCAGACUGUUAUGAUUUCUAAUUUGAGGUGUUGCUUGGCUGAUAGAUGCUGUAAUUUUGUUUCAGAAGCAAAAUAUAACUGAUCGGGUAAAGGGGGAAGACCAUCACAAAUCAGCAUAAUUUCAGAGAAAAAAAAAGAAUCCACUUUCCUUGUUUGUUUUAUCACAUCUGGCACUCCCUCUGUUCACAAAUAUGUUCUGUGUAUUUCAAUAUGAACUACAAUAAUACAAUGAACUUCACUGCACAUAAAGGAUAGCACCAUAUAAUGAGAACAGAUUCGGAUUACAAUACCCAGAUAACAUGUCACUUCUUUAGUGAUCUAAACGAUCAGCGGGAGUAGUAGUUUUACACUCUACAUUGGGGUGAAUUUCUUUAAGAGAACACCUUUUAUUGGCCAAAGGUCUAGAAACUGAAUUUUCUUUAAGAGAAAUGCACCCUGUUGAAACAAGUCAGGCUACAAGAAGUGCAGUUCCUUCACAUUCAGCCAAUAAAAAGUGUACCGAUAAGAAUUUUACUCUGAUAACACACACUAUAUAGGCUUCAAACAUUGUGCUAGAUAAGAUAACUAGCUACUAACUCCAAGGAUAUCAGCAAACAUCUCUUUCCAUCCAUCCCAAUCCAGAUACAUCCAAGUGGCAAGCAUUGUAGGCAGUCCAUAUACCAGGCAAUUAUUGAAUCUUUCUCUUGCACGACAGAAGCGCCUAAAGAGGAGAUUACCAAAAAUAUUAUACAUCAAUUUAGAUAAAUUAGGGAGAGCAGAUAAAUCUGCAUAUGUAAUUUUGUGGAUCAUACCAGAGGGCAUCACUGGGAUUGGGCUCAAUGUGUCCGAAGAGAUGGUGGAUAAGCUCCCUGUUCUCUCGGAAGUACUUGUUACGCGAGGGGAAUCUGCUAUCAAGCUCAGCGAGCUGGUAGAAGAGGUCGCGCUUCUUGGUCUCGACUUCAAUUAUCUGACGACGGCCCCAUGCUCUCUUGGCGUCGAGGUCUAGCGCAGGUUUUGCAUUUGGUUGCUGUCAACGGAAGAUGAAGGUUAUAGACAUCGAUUGAGCUAUACUACUCCCUCCGACUUCAGAAAGAAGGCAUGCCAUUUUGUCUGAAGCAAACAGUGCACAGUUUGACCAGAUUUGCAGGAAAAUUUGUCAACAACUACAAUACUAAAUAAAGAUAAUAUGAAAAAAAAAUCAUUGUGUCUGCCAAUUUUUUUGGUUAAUCUGUUAUGUUUGGGGCCAAUCACUGGGAGAUUUGACCAAUUAGCAAGGCAGUAAGCAAGGGUUGUUACAUCCAGCAUGGAGUGGGUAAUUUGCAGAGUCACUAGAACAAUAAAUCAACCACCAGUCUAGUUAAUUAAUUAGAACUCGACGGGGGAGAUUUGACCAAUUAGCAAGGCAGUAAGCAAGGGUUGUUAGAUCCAGGAUGGAGUGGGUAAUUUGCACAGUUACUAGAACAACAAGUCAACCACUAAUCUAGUUAAUUAGAACUCGACGGGGAGAAAAUAUUGGGUUGUAUCGACCAUACAUGCAGGGUGCUGUUGCCAACAUCAGCGCCGCCGGCGGAGGCAGACAAAGGCCGGAAACGAAAAGGGAUAGGCUGACGGCCACCGUAGAUGAGCCUUGGCAUCAGCCGGCGACACUCAACCUCGACCAGCGGCGAGACGGCGGGCUUGUAAACCGCCUUGCCGCCGCUGAGCCUUCUGGCCGCGUGUCGAAUCGCCGCCGCCAUCGCCUUGUCUGCUGCCUGCGUUUCUUGCCGAUCUAGGGUUCGGUUCCUUUUUUUUUGUUUUGAGAUAAGUUGGAUUCCUCCUCUGCUUUUUUUUUUUGAGACAAGGGUUCCUCCUCUGCUUUUUUGAGGGUUCCGGACCGAACUGCCAGUACUCCCAACCCCACAGCCCAUUCUGUUGGUUGGUAAGUACGGCCCUGCUGGAGAUUUUUUUUUUGCUUCAACCAAAAAACGAGGUUUCAUUUAGCAACCCACGGCGAAUCUAUUCCCCCGCACAAGACAUCUACAUCUGGACUUAGCAAAUCCGGCCCUCUAAAUAUUCACGGAAGUGCCAGUUUGGACUUGUCUGUUUUAAGCCCCUAUUUGUCUGUCCAUGUAGCUAUACCUAUACACCUCUUUUUUUUUCUUAUAUAUGUCCGGUCACUCAUGUGAUUGAUGGAGAUGAAGAGGAGAGAAAAAAAAGUAAGAACAAAGAAAGAGAAAAGGUAGUCUAGGAUGGGUUAUGUCCUACGUAGCGGACUGACAUAGCGCUUAGUGGGCCCUCAUAUUCUCCUCGGAUUUGGUAUCAAUAUGGGGUUUCCGGAUAGUCCAGACGUAUACAGAUGAUGUGAGAAGCCUAAUUAAGUAAAAAAAAAAUCCAUCUCUCUCAUAUCUGGCCACUACCGAGCGCGUCUGCGGAUGUUUGAGGAGGCCGGCUGUAGAUGCUCGUGGCCACUAGUUUUAGGAAGGUUCUAAACCUUCCUUGAAUUUGGUUUUUCUUUUAUUUAUUCCAUUCAUCUUCUUUUUCCAUUUUUUAUUUUGUGAAUUUUUUGUAAUUCAGAUUUUUUUAAAAUGUGCCAACAAUUCUCAAAUUUGUGAAUAUUAAUUUCAUUUUGGAAUAUUUUUUGAAAUCAGAGAAGUUUCCCAAAUUCAUGAAUAUUUUUUGAAACUUGGGAACAUAUUCAGAUUUUUUGAAAUAUUUUCAAAAUCUGUGACCAUUUUUCAAUUCAUAUUUUUUGUGAAUCUGUAACUUUUUUAAAAUACGGGAACAUUUUUCAACUUGGGAACAAUUUUUGAAAUGUGGGCCCUCCUAUUCUCCUCGGAUUUGAUAUCAAUAUGGGGUUUCCGGACAGCCCAGACGUAUAUAGAUGAUAUGAGGAGUCUAAUUAAGUAAAAAAAUUCUAUCUCUCUCAUAUCUGGCCACUACCGAGCGCAUCUACGGAUGUUUGAGGAGGCCGGCUGUAGAUGCUCGUGGCCACUGGUUUUAGGAAGGUUCUGAACCUUCCUUGAAUUUGGUUUUUCUUUUAUUUAUUCCAUUCAUCUUCUUUUUCCAUUUUUUAUUUUGUGAAUUUUUUGUAAUUCAGACUUUUUUUAAAAUGUGCCAACAAUUCUCAAAUUUGUGAAUAUUAAUUUCAUUUUGGAAUAUUUUUUGAAAUCAGAGAAGUUUUCCAAAUUCAUGAAUAUUUUUUGAAACUUGGGAACAUAUUCAGAUUUUUUGAAAUAUUUUCAAAAUCUGUGACCAUUUUUCAAUUCAUAUUUUUUGUGAAUCUGUAACUUUUUUAAAACACGGGAACAUUUUUCAACUUGGGAACAAUUUUUGAAAUGUGGGCCCUCCUAUUCUCCUCGGAUUUGAUAUCAAUAUGGGGUUUCCGGACAGCCCAGACGUAUAUAGAUGAUAUGAGGAGUCUAAUUAAGUAAAAAAAUUCUAUCUCUCUCAUAUCUGGCCACUACCGAGCGCGUCUGCGGAUGUUUGAGGAGGCCAGCUGUAGAUGCUCGUGGCCACCGGUUUUAGGAAGGUUCUGUACCUUCCUUGAAUUUGUUUUUUCGUUUAUUUAUUCCAGUCAUCUUCUUUUUCCAUUUUUUAUUUUGUGAUUUUUUUGUAAUUCAGACUUUUUUUAAAUGUGCCAACAAUUCUCAAAUUUGUGAAUAUUAAUUUCAUUUUGGAAUAUUUUUUAAAAUCAGAGAAUGUUUUCAAAUUCAUGAUAUUUUUUGAAAAUUGGGAACAUAUUCAGAUUUUUCAACAUUUUCAAAAUCUGUGAACAUUUUUCAAUUCAUAUUUUUUGUGAAUAUGUAACAUUUUUUAAAAUACGGGAACAAUUUUCAAAAUCAUGAGUUUUUUAGACCAGGAACAAUCUUCAAAUUCCUAUUUUUGGAAAAUCCAAUUACAUUUUUCAAAUUCAUGAUUUUCUUAAUUCAAGACAUCUUCUGAAAUCCCAAUGAUUAGACCAAAGCCAACUCUAGUAGUAACUAAUGUAAAAAAUAAAAAAAUGCCAAUUUAAAUAUGGAUGCAACUAAACUCAAAGAUAUAUAAAACUAACACAUACGUCAAUUCACUUCCGAGUUACCUCCGAGGUAGCACUUUCUUUAUCGCCAUGUAGCUAGGCUUCGAUGCUCCAUUAAUUCGUCCACCCAUAUAUGAUAUAUCCCAAGAGAUAUCGACCCAAAGUGUAGUUCUUACUGCUGGUCGAGGUUCAGAGCACCUCAUAGCAAAGUUUAGUCAGAGACGUACUCGCUUCCGGUGCAUCCACAUCAUAUAAGUAAAUAGGUUCUUGCUCUCAAGCGAGAAAUGAUGCAUCAAGAACUUCAGGAGAAGGUCGCGUCCUUGAGUGUGCGUAACUUGCCAGUGCUGGUGGGUGGCGAUUUCAACUUAAUCCGAUCGGGAGCGGGUAAGAACAAUGGAAUCAUUAUCUGAACAAGGGUGUCCUUGUUUAAUAAUGCGAUAGCAUCUAUGGCCCUUAGGGAAGUGGCUCGCGUGGGCGCAUGCUACACCUGGACCAACAACAACAAGCAGCUAACGCCGGUGCGGUCUGUGCUAGAUCGGGUUUUCAUGUUCGCGGAGUGGGAAAUGUUAUUCCCCAUGUGCUCCCUCCACGCUGAAACAAGGAUUGGUUCGGAUCACAUCCCCUUAAUCCUGUCCUCAGGGGAGGAUAGGUUAAAGAGUAGUCCUCGUUUUUACUUUGAAACUACGUGGUUCGAGGUCCCGGAUUUUGAGCAAAUCUUCCUCUCCAAAUGGGAGACAUGCGUGGCCCGGAUCAGGCAAACGCGCGGGCCAAUGGAGUUUUGGAUUGCCGCAGGGGCGGGAAUGCGUGCGGCUCCCAAAGGUUGGGGGGCCAACCAGGGCCGCGAGGAUAAGCUGCUCCGAAUGCGUCUGACCGCAGACCUCGCCCGUAUGGACGUGGUUGCGGAUGCGCAGGGUUUCUCGGAACAAGACUGGGCCCAGCGCUAUGCGGUUGAAGCCCAAGUUGAGUCCCUCCUUAGGGCAGAGGAGGAGUACUGGCGUAGAUGUGGUGGCAUCAAGUGGGCGCUCAAGGGAGAAGCGAACACUAAGUAUUUCCAUGUGCACGCUAAUGGUAGACGCCGUAAGUGCGCCAUCCUGCGUCUGCAAUCCGAGCAGGGGCUCCUUUUGCGCCAACAGGAUAUCGUCCAUCACAUUUAUGAUUUCUACAUCCAACUGAUGGGCUCCAGGGAGGAGUCCCGUGCUUGGCUGCGGGCGGAUGUUUGGCAUCCUGCGUUGCGGGUCACGGACGAGGAGAAUGAGGGCUUGGGGCCGGCCUUCCUCCCCCACGAGAUUGAUGUGGCGGCUCUUGGGAUAAAAUCGGACACCGCACCGGGUCCGAAUGGGUGGCCGGUGGCGAUGUUUAAACGAUUUUGGCAAGUGCUUAAAGGGCCAAUUUUGACGUUCUUAAUGGGUUCAUGCGUGGUAGUGUAGAUAUCUCUCGCUUGAACUUUGGGGUUCUAUCUCUGAUCCCCAAAGUACAGGGAGCGGACUGUAUUAGACUUUUUCGACCGACAACACUCAUUAACGUCCCGUUUAAAAUCUGCUCUAAGGCUUGUUCCACGCGCUUGUCUCUAAUAGCUCACCGUAUUAUUAGUAGGAACCAAUCAGCUUUUAUUCGUGGUCGCAACAUUUUGGAGGGGCCGUUGGCCCUUCAAGAGAUCAUUCACUCGCUCAAACGCACUCGACAGCCUGCCAUUCUUUUGAAAUUGGAUUUUGAGAAGGCGUACGACCGAGUGAACUGGGAGUUUCUUCGACAAGUCCUCCUGGACAGAGCAUUUUUGUCGGUUUGGGUUCACCACAUGAUGCAAUUGGUCUCGGGCUAAACGGAGAUUGCGGUGAAUGGAGAAGUAGGGAACUUCUUCUGCAACAAGCGUGGGCUGCGUCAAGGGGACCCGGCCUCGCCGUUGCUCUUUAACUUUGUGGCAGACGCCCUGGGCGCCAUGCUAGACAAAGCUCGUAUUGCGGGCCACAUCAGGGGAGUGGUCGGCAAUUUGAUCCCAGCUAGGCAUGUCACACCUUCAGUACGCUGAUGACACUCUUCUCCUUUUCGAGCCGGACCUACACAGUAUCGCAACGGUCAAGGCCAUUCUUCUUUGCUUUGAGCUUAUGGCUGGGCUAAAAAUAAACUUUCACAAAUGUGAAGUGGUGUCCAUAGGGAUGGAUGCGGCUGAAAGCCUGCGGGUAGCCAAUUUGCUUAAUUGCAAACUGGGAAAACUACCUUUCACCUACCUCGGCCUCCCGAUCGCAGAGAAAAAAUGCUCGAUUGCCGAUUGGGAACCUCUUAGCACUAAGGUGGCACACAGGGUUUGCCCGUGGAGAGGUCAUUUUAUGUCUUCGGGGGCUAGACUUAUCUUAACUAAUUCCAGCCUCUCGUCCCUGCCUAUGUUUGCCAUGGGUCUGUUCUUGCUGGCUGACGGGGUCCACACCAAAAUGGACACUCCGCGGGCCUAUUUCUUUUGGGAAGGAGCGGGACCGAAGCGUAAAUAUCAUAUGGUUAAAUGGCAGGCCGUUUGUAGACCUAAAGCCCGGGGGGCCUCAGGAUCAUCAACUCUAAGUUGAUGAAUAUUGCACUCAUGUGCAAGUGGAUCUGGAAGCUGUCUCAGGGAGAGACCGGCCUCUGGAUGGACCUCCUACGUGCCAAAUACUUCCGUGAGGGGAAUUUCUUUGAGGCAGCAUCCCAUGGAUCUCCUUUCUGGAACUCCAUCCAAUCCCUAAAACCGUUCUUCGCCAGGGGCGCGAGGUUUUAGGUUAAUAAUGGACGCUCCACGCGUUUCUGGCACGACACUUGGAUAGGCCAACAACCUCUUUGGUCGGAGUUCCGCCAACUAUACUCCAUCACUGUCCAGCCCAACCAAUUGGUUGCUUCGGCUCUAAGCUCCUGCCCGCCCCCUAUCCACUUUAGAAGGGAGCUCUCGGGGCCUGAGAGGGAGGAUUGGGAUCGCCUUCGGGCUAAGAUAGCGGACGUGCGCUUAUCAAACAACACGGAUACGGUGUCCUGGAGGCUUUCGGGCUCUGGCAAAUUUACUGUCAAUUCCCUAUAUAGAGAGCUGUCCCGAGGCCACGUCCCUAUGGCUGCCUCGGGGCUUUGGAAGGCUCGAAUUCCUCUCAAUAUCAAGGUUUUCCUCUGGCAACUUUGUCAAGACCGCCUCCCUACUUCAAUAAAUAUAGCCAAACGCAAUGGCCCGGCCUCCGGGCCUUGUGCUUUGUGUGGUGUCCUGGAAGAUGCUGACCACGUGUUCUUCUGGUGCUCUUUGGCGCGCUUUGCCUGGAGCGCGGUCCGCAAGGCCGUGGGUGUGGAUUGGGAUCCACGCUCCCGCCCCAAGCUCGUGUCGUCUUUGUCCUUGGUCCAGGGUUCUUCGCGCCGUGUUAUGUGGACAAGUGCGGCGGCCAUGUUGUGGGCUUUGUGGCAUAUUCGUAACAAGUUUACAUUGAGGGUGUGUUCCCCUCUCACCCCGCUGACGUAAUCUACAAAUGCAUCUUGUUCUUGCAGCAAUGGGCCCCGCUGGGAAGACAACAAGACUCUGAUCUGCAUCUCCUUGCUCUUGCAUGCCUUCGCUCUGUCUACUCCGCGCCGCGAGCCCCGUCGCCUCCUUCCGCUGCCUCAUAGGGAUGGGUAGCCCCUUUUGGAAGUGUUUCCUCCGAGCCUGUGUGCUCCUAUGUUGGCUGGACACGCCAUGUAAUGCACUUUAUUCCUUCGCCGUUUCCUCUUGUGGUGUGUCUGAGACCCCGGAAGACUAGUUUGUUUGUGUUUGUUGGUCGUUUGGUUGUGCACGCCGCCUAUGUUGAGGGCUUUAUUAAUUUAAAACCGGACGUCCCUGACGUCUAUGUUUUAAAAAAACGAUGCACCAAGCAUCGUGGGCAUGUCUCCUCAUAUAUCUGCGACAAAAGGGUUAGAGAAAUGUGGCACAAGCCAAGAAAAAGAAAACCAAGCGAGUCAAGCGCAAAGCUGGAGAAAGUAUUGAUCAGCCGUCAGCGAGGAAGAUCUCUGCAUCAGAGAAUCUAUGUCGUGAUAUGAUUGUAGUUGGCACGAAGGAUGACCCUCUGGACUGGAGAAGUGUGCCCCUUAAACAAAUGUAGAGCAGAAGGCUCCUGAAGAAGUUGCUCAACCGGAGCAGUGUGCUCCAAAUGAGGAAGCUGUCGCUAGUGAUUCCCAGAAGAAAAAGCUCCUAAUAAGAAAGAUGCCUCGGCAAAACCUCGUUCUCCAUAAGAAAUCCCUGUGGAUGAAGCACUUGAGAAUGCAGGAGCACUUGAUUCUCCCUCUAGACAUGCUUUCAUUCCCUCUGUCAGUCCCUUUGUGGAUGUUGAAGAAGAAGAAGUGGAGCCUCAUACUCCGAAAGAGAAACAAGAUGAUGUUGUUCCAUCUCAGCCAAGUGCAUAGCCCAGAUAGUUGCAUAAAAGGCCCUAGUGCUUUCCCCCGAAGAUGAUGCUCAAACGAUUGCUACCGAAAAAUCCUCUAAGUCCGCAGUGGCUGCCUCGUUUGUAGUCAAUUCUCGAGGAGGAAGAAGCAGAAAUUGCUGCUAGCACUGAAGAGGAAGUUCUCCCACGCUAUCCCAAGCAGAAACUGCCGAAGUUUGAUUCUUGGAGAUCUCCUUGUACUUUAAUUCAACAUGCUGCAACACAAGGCAAAACUUACUUACUUCAGAGAAAGCCCAUAUGAUGGUUAUCGCACAUCUCAAUCUGCUUGGUUCUGGAGCAAUGACAUCUCUUGAUGGAUCCUGCUAUUGCUGGAGAUAUUGCCAAGCCAAUGCGAAAGUGAAUGACCUGGCGUAUAUCAACACAACUUUCUAUCCGAUAAUGAGCAAAACUCUCUAUCCCAAGACGGGAACUCACUCUGAGGACUUAAUCAAAGGGAUAGUUGAAGCUCUCUUUUCUGGUCCUUUAUUGAGUUUGACAACAUAUGUGCGUCUCUCCGCUGCUUGAAAGCACAUAGUGUUGGCGGCCCGGCGUUCAGGAAAUCCCUCUCAUAGCAUGGGAUGAUCUGGCGGCAAAAAAAUAUAAAAAGGGAUGAAACAACACAUGGAUGAGGACUAAAAAAACAUGGAACUAAAUGGGGAAAAUGAGAAUUCCCAUAGAUUGGAUGUUUUGAAUCCCUACACUAGAAAAUCACCAAAUGAUGUGCUGGUUGCAUCCUUGUUUGCGCAUGAGGUUUUGCAAACUGUGCGUGCCAUCUAUGCACUUUUUUUUAAAGUUAUAUAGUUCUUUUUUUUUAGAAAAGGAGGAAGACCACGCCUCUGCAUCUGGACGAUGCAUACAGCCAUUUUAUUAAUUAUUAACACACGUUACAAAGUCAUACAACAGUAAGACUAAAGCCACAGUCUAAUCAACAUUUGUCGCUACUCCUAUCCAGUUGAUGAAGGGGCGCUCAUAGUCUGGGCCUAAUAACAAACAGACCUUGCAGACAAAGCUAACAUCUAAGACCAGAGGUCCCAACCAGGACGCCUGCCGGGUUUGGGCACCCACCAGUCCGGCGUGCUCCUCAACCAGGACGCAUGUCGGGUAUGAGGCCGCUGCAACCACCCGCCACCAAUCCAUCUCCAGAGCUAUACUGCUGCAUCUACCUUGCCCGGUUUAGCUGCCACCACGAGCCAGACAACGUCACCCUCCUGCUCGAGUCCAUCUCCGCGCAUCGUGCGUCGAGUCUCCAUGCGCCAAGCCGCGGAGAUCCGCCGUCAUCAAUUGGCAAGAUAAAUCAUCGCUCCUCCUCUUGUCCCCUCCAACCAGCACUUGCUCCAAAACGAUGCCCCCAAGAGGGAGAACGACAUCGAAGGCGCCGUCAUCGUCCGAUCCGGUAGACCCAGAUCUAGGGUUUUCCCUGGAACUACCCGAUCAGGUGGACGUGACCUGCAACGACGAUGCCUCAAGAAGGCAACGACGUCCGAGACGCCGCCAUCGUCCGCAAAGACCGCAUUUAGGUGCGAUUUUCAUCGGAAGCCACGUCGUCCCAAUCUCGUGGCUGGCUGGAACCUAGCGGAACAUCGCCAUGAAGACAUAUGGUGCCAUCGGAAAGCCGGUUGAGGACCUCCGACUGCCCCACCCCGGCCCCAUCACGCGCCGCCGGCCGGCCAUAGCCGAACCACGACGGCUGGCCGGGACGCUAGAUCCAUGGCCACUGCCGCUGCCCCUCGCAUAGCGGAGAAUCCCAGCGGAGGACCUCGCCAGCCCUGGGUUCGCCGGCUGUCGCCGCACAGCCAGGACGCCGCCGUGGCUGCCGCGCAAAGACCCUGCACGAGGCGCCCCGGCCGCCUGAUAGGAGAUCCGUCGCUUCCCUCAUGCCCUAGCCCUUUAGGCGUCGGGCGCCGCCACCACCUCGGCCAGUGCCGGCGGCAGCGGCGGCAGAGAUCUACCUCUCGGGAAGGCUGCCGGCGCGAGGACUUAGGUCCCCCUGGCGUCGCCCUGGGUGGCGGCGCGAGGGGGUCGCGAGGAUAUGCCAAUUACAUUUAAAUGACUAAUAAUAACAGUUAAAACACACAUACACACACACAAAUU
RNAcentral lists this long non-coding RNA (13001 nucleotides) under Triticum aestivum (bread wheat). RNAcentral's name for it is "long non-coding RNA (TAES_LNC011724)". Lineage: Eukaryota; Viridiplantae; Streptophyta; Magnoliopsida; Poales; Poaceae. The record is from RNAcentral.